UACAGAGGGGGCAAGCGUUGUUCGGAAUUACUGGGCGUAAAGGGCGCGUAGGCGGCCUGUUAAGUCGAACGUGAAAUCCCCGGGCUCAACCCGGGAACUGCGUCCGAUACUGGCAGGCUUGAAUCCGGGAGAGGGAUGUGGAAUUCCAGGUGUAGCGGUGAAAUGCGUAGAUAUCUGGAGGAACACCGGUGGCGAAGGCGGCAUCCUGGACCGACAUUGACGCUGAGGAGCGAAAGCUAGGGGAGCAAACGGG
RNAcentral lists this ribosomal RNA (253 nucleotides) under uncultured bacterium. Its description in RNAcentral is "partial 16S ribosomal RNA". It matches the Rfam family "Bacterial small subunit ribosomal RNA", at positions 524 to 776 of the family's 1533-position model. The record is from RNAcentral.